This 468-nucleotide ribosomal RNA is filed under the name Metabacillus indicus. RNAcentral's name for it is "bacterial SSU rRNA". It matches the Rfam family "Bacterial small subunit ribosomal RNA", at positions 50 to 516 of the family's 1533-position model. Lineage: Bacteria; Bacillati; Bacillota; Bacilli; Caryophanales; Bacillaceae. The record is from RNAcentral.
AAUACAUGMAGUCGAGCGGMCUCUUCGGRRUCAGCGGCGGACGGGUGAGUAACACGUGGGCAACCUGCCUGUAAGACUGGGAUAACUCCGGGAAACCGGAGCUAAUACCGGAUAYUAUKUCAAACCGCAUGGUUUGAMAUUCAAAGACGGUUUCGGCUGUCACUUACAGAUGGGCCCGCGGCGCAUUAGCUAGUUGGUGAGGUAAUGGCUCACCAAGGCRACGAUGCGUAGCCGACCUGAGAGGGUGAUCGGCCACACUGGGACUGAGACACGGCCCAGACUCCUACGGGAGGCAGCAGUAGGGAAUCUUCCGCAAUGGACGAAAGUCUGACGGAGCAACGCCGCGUGAGUGAUGAAGGUUUUCGGAUCGUAAAACUCUGUUGUCAGGGAAGAACAAGUGCCGGAGUAACUGCCGGCACCUUGACGGUACCUGACCAGAAAGCCACGGCUAACUACGUGCCAGCAGCC